GAUGAACGCUAGCGGCAGGCCUAAUACAUGCAAGUCGGACGGGAUUCACCAGCUUGCUGGUGAUGAGAGUGGCGCACGGGUGCGUAACGCGUGAGCAACCUGCCCAUAUCAGGGGGAUAGCCCGGAGAAAUCCGGAUUAAGACCGCAUAAUACAGAUUGACUGCAUGGUUAAACUGUUAAAUAUUUAUAGGAUAUGGAUGGGCUCGCGUGACAUUAGCUAGUUGGUAGGGUAACGGCCUACCAAGGCGACGAUGUCUAGGGGCUCUGAGAGGAGAAUCCCCCACACUGGUACUGAGACACGGACCAGACUCCUACGGGAGGCAGCAGUAAGGAAUAUUGGUCAAUGGAGGCAACUCUGAACCAGCCAUGCCGCGUGCAGGAAGACGGCCCUACGGGUUGUAAACUGCUUUUGUACGGGAAUAACCCCCAAUACGGGUAUUGGGCUGAAUGUACCGUAAGAAUAAGGAUCGGCUAACUCCGUGCCAGCAGCCGCGGUAA
Molecule: ribosomal RNA, 498 nt
Filed under: uncultured bacterium
Lineage: Bacteria
Description: partial 16S ribosomal RNA
Rfam family: Bacterial small subunit ribosomal RNA
Source: RNAcentral